This 490-nucleotide ribosomal RNA is filed under the name uncultured bacterium. RNAcentral describes it as "bacterial SSU rRNA". It matches the Rfam family "Bacterial small subunit ribosomal RNA", at positions 215 to 697 of the family's 1533-position model. The record is from RNAcentral.
UCACUCAAAGAUGAUCCCGCGUUGUAUUAGCUAGUUGGUGAGGUAAAGGCUCACCAAGGCGAUGAUACAUAGCCGACCUGAGAGGGUGAUCGGCCACAUUGGGACUGAGACACGGCCCAAACUCCUACGGGAGGCUGCAGUAGGGAAUCUUCGGCAAUGGACGAAAGUCUGACCGAGCAACGCCGCGUGAGUGAAGAAGGUUUUCGGAUCGUAAAACUCUGUUGGUAGAGAAGAACGUUGGUGAGAGUGGAAAGCUCAUCAAGUGACGGUAACUACCCAGAAAGGGACGGCUAACUACGUGCCAGCAGCCGCGGUAAUACGUAGGUCCCGAGCGUUGUCCGGAUUUAUUGGGCGUAAAGCGAGCGCAGGUGGUUUAUUAAGUCUGGUGUAAAAGGCAGUGGCUCAACCAUUGUAUGCAUUGGAAACUGGUAGACUUGAGUGCAGGAGAGGAGAGUGGAAUUCCAUGUGUAGCGGUGAAAUGCGUAGAUAU